RNAcentral lists this ribosomal RNA (400 nucleotides) under uncultured bacterium. Its description in RNAcentral is "bacterial SSU rRNA". It matches the Rfam family "Bacterial small subunit ribosomal RNA", at positions 359 to 776 of the family's 1533-position model. The record is from RNAcentral.
GAAUCUUGGACAAUGGGCGAAAGCCUGAUCCAGCGACGCCGCGUGGGUGAUGAAGGCCUUCGGGUUGUAAAGCCCUUUCGCCGGGGACGAUGAUGACGGUACCCGGAGAAGAAGCACCGGCUAACUCCGUGCCCGCAGCCGCGGUAAGACGGAGGGUGCUAGCGUUGUUCGGAAUCACUGGGCGUAAAGGGCGCGUAGGCGGCCCAGGCAGUCGGGUGUGAAGGCCCGGGGCUCAACCCCGGAACGGCACUCGAUACUCCUGGGCUCGAGGCCGGAAGAGGAGGGUGGAAUACCCAGUGUAGAGGUGAAAUUCGUAGAUAUUGGGUGGAACACCGGUGGCGAAAGCGGCUCUCUGGUCCGGACCUGACGCUGAGGCGCGAAAGCGUGGGGAGCAAACAGG